CGAUUGAAUGGCUUAGUGAGGCCUCUGGAUUAAGUUUUAAGCUGGGGCAACCCGGGUUAAUGCUGAGAAACUGGUCAAACUUGGUCAUUUAGAGGAAGUAAAAGUCGUAACAAGGUUUCCGUAGGUGAACCUGCGGAAGGAUCAUUAAGAAAAAACAAUACACUCUUUUUAGGAAAACAAACAAAACAUUUUAUUUCAACAACAAUUAAAAAAAAACUUUCAACAACGGAUCUCUUGGUUCUCGCAUCGAUGAAGAACGCAGCGAAUUGCGAUACGUAAUAUGACUUGCAGACGUGAAUCAUUGAAUUUUUGAACGCACAUUGCGCCUUAAGGUAUUCCUCAAGGCAUGCGUGGAUGAGCGAUAUUUACUCUCAAACCUCUUGGUUUGGUCUUGACUCCAGGUCUAAAUAUCAAAUGUCUCUAGAAUAAGUUUUAGAUUCUCCCAAUCCUUCCUCAUCUUCGUAAGAAUACCCGCUGAACUUUAGCAUAUCAAUUAGCGGAAG
Molecule: ribosomal RNA, 503 nt
Filed under: Metschnikowia bicuspidata var. chathamia
Lineage: Eukaryota; Fungi; Ascomycota; Pichiomycetes; Serinales; Metschnikowiaceae
Description: eukaryotic LSU rRNA
Rfam family: 5.8S ribosomal RNA (bases 215-364)
Source: RNAcentral